RNAcentral lists this long non-coding RNA (9709 nucleotides) under Marmota monax (woodchuck). Lineage: Eukaryota; Metazoa; Chordata; Mammalia; Rodentia; Sciuridae. The record is from RNAcentral.
GUGAUAUUUUCAUAACCCCCUGUGAGCUUCAGAGGUGGAAACUUAGCAAUGGAAACAGUCGGAGGAAGACAGGGAAGGACCAACACAGGCCUCCUAUCACUGCACGCCUCUGCUCCCACAGUCUCCUCCGCCCAGAAAGCCUUCCAGCCUCUCCCUGGAGUGAAGUUCCUCAGCUCUGGAAGGUAAGCCCCAACACAGGCUCCUGUGGAUGCUGCCAGACCAGCCCCCGCUGGCCCCUCUCCCCCAGCUCCUCACAGGGUAGGUUCCUCCUCUCGCGGGCUCUUCCUCCUCUCUGUCCUGUAUAAUAGCUUGUUUUUCAGUACCCUAUCUUCCCCAAUUCUGAUCUCUUUGAGAAGCAAGCAUCGCAUCGGGAUGCAACCCUCCCAAGAGUGUCCAACCAAACUUGGGUACUCCUGGAUGUGCUGGAUGGAGAAGCUGCUCGGGGACAUCUGCUGAUCAGUGGGACAGUUGACACGUGGUCAUCCGGAGUUAUGGGAUUCCAUUAACUUGAAUUCCACUAGAAGAAUGUGUCUAUCGGGCUGAACUUGGCUGGCUGGACAGACAGGCCGGGUAAAUAGUAUGUGGAAUGAAAAACACAUAGCAAAGCCCUUUGGAUUAUUUAGCCAUUUGAGGAAGGACUCGAGAGGAAACGGGCAGCCGCGCUGUGCACAUUCUCUUGGGAAACAUUCCCAACAGCCUGGCUUAAUUUCCCCAGGGAGUGACCUACGUAGCGCCCCCGUGAUGCCUUCCUAAGGGAGUGACCUUGCCUGCCUUUGGCUUCUGCUCCCUUUGGAGCACCUCCUUCUCCCCUAUUCUUCAGAAGGGACCCUUGCUCCUUCCUGGCUAGGAUAGAUCGCCAGACAGGAUGACUCUGAGCCGCUACAGACAUCAGCUUUGCUUCUUAGCAGGCGCCAGUUUCAACACGCUCAAGCAGAAGCACUUGGCAGAGAAAUGGCCUCCUCGCUUGAAGUCAGGCUCUGCACAGACCAAUCAGCUGUCAGCCCUCUGCGGGGCCUGAAAACCAGCUCCUGUGGCUUUAGCCAAGAGACAAAUCCCUGAAUGUAUUCCUUAGGUGUCCAGGGUAGCUCUGUCUUCAGGUGACGCUUGUCCCAGGAUUUCAAACUGUCACUAGGGAGCAGUCUUGGUCCAUUCUCAGCCCUCCUCCCUUCCGUGGUCUUCACGUUCACAGGAUGGUUCAAAGCUGUCGGCAGAUCCAGGCUACUCCCUCCAAGGUUCACCAGCUACAGGGAGCAAGAACCUUUCCUCCUGCGCCUGGCGGUCAUUGGUCCAGACCGGAUCAUGUGUCUCUCUCUGAACCAAUCACUGAAGCCAAGAAACUGGGAUGCGCUGAUUGGCUAAUCCUAGGUCACGUGGCCUCAUUCAAAUCACAAGGGCCAGAAGGGGAAGGUGGGUUGAUUCUCAGAGGGAAUCUGGGGUACCGUGCCAUGAGCAAGGUGUGAAGAUUUGAGGUGUAGUGAAAAUCAAAGCACCCACCACACCACGGAAGAGAAAAUCAGCCAUUACCACAGCCAUAGGCAGGCGACAGGGAGUCCUGGGAGCCUCCAUAAUGGUACCUCCGCCGUGAGGCAUCACAGAACUUCAGCUAUUAUUGAGGUAUUUAAAUGUGUUAUUACGAUCAAGAGGUCAUGAGGUCCACAGCACCAUGGAACAUGCAGGGUUGACUGGUGGUCCCUUGGAACCCAUUCCUAAUAGCUCUAUUUUCUGUCCUAGGACAGUGGCUCGGGAGAAUGGGCUCUGUCCUUGCUCUAGGCCAGGGAUCCCAUUCCCUCCUCCAGCCCAAUGAUUGGUCUAGUGUGGACAUGUGACCUGAGCUAGCCCAGUUGGAAGGCUCCCAGGACUCCUCAUGGUGCUGAAGGAAGGUGGCAGGAUGUGUGUGGGAAAGCCUUCAGCUCUGGGAACUGUGAGGAUCAUCUUGGGACCACUGGAAAAUGGGGCUGAAAGUGAUGGUUCCUUACAGGAAGAAGCAGGAGGGGUAGUAAGGGAAGGAGGGAGAAAUGUAGAAAAGAGAAAAAGAGGGAGGUAAGGAAGGAAGAAACUGGGUCUUAAUGACACCAUUGCACUCUAGAUCGAGCCUGGCCUGAAACCAGACCCUGCCUCUGGCAUUUUCAAUCAUGUGAAUCUUUAUUGUUCCAAUCUACAUGGGUCAGGCUUUCUAUACCUUGCUACCCAAAACAUUCUAAUGAUGUACUUCCAACGCUUUGAUCUGUUUCCAAGUCCAGGCAGUCCAUGGAAGUGACUCCACACAUGAGUGUCUAGCACAGGUGACCUUACUUCUCUUUAGGGUGUUAUGGUUUGGAAGAGAGGUGUCCCCCAAAAGCUCUUGUGUGAGACAAUGCAAGAAAGUUUAGAGGAGAAAUUUUUGGAUUAUGAGAGCCUUAAUCCAAUCAGUGAAUCAAUCCCCUGAUGGUAUUAACUGAGUGGUGACUGGAGGUGGGGGGGUGUGGCUAGAGGAGGUGGGCAUUGGGGGCGUGGCUUUGGGUGCAUAUUGUGUAUCUGGUGAGCCGAGUUUCUCUUUGCUUUCUGAUCAUCACGUGAGCUGCUUCCCUCUGGCACACUCUUCCUCAGGCCCUAAGGAUCGGAGCCAGCUGUCUAUAGACUUAGACCUCUGAAACCGUGAGCCCCCAAAUAAACUUUUUCUCCCCUAAAAUUGUUCUGGUCAGACCUUUUAGUCCCAGCAGGAAAAAAGCUGACUAAAACACAGGGCAACUCUGAGGGGCAUCUGAGCUCCAGCUCCUCCAGGGCUUGGCUUUGCUCUCUCUUGGUGCUGUGUUGCAGUUGAACUUCGACCUCUGCUCUGUUCUUCUCACAUACCCCCUGCGUUCCCUUCCCUGUCUCAGAGUGCAUCUUCCUGGGAACCAAGCCACAACAUCAGGUGAAGCACGUGUCUGUCUACGUGGGGUGAUGUUAGAGGCUCGAUCCCAACCAUGCAUCCAGUAAUGAUGGGGAUACAGUCUGAGAUCUGCACUGCUAUUUAAUCAUUGUGCAAACAUCACAAAGUAUAUUCACACACCCUGAUGGCUAUGAUGGCACCAGGCAACAUCAUCUCGUGGUACCACUGCUAUCCAUGCAGCCUGUCAUGGACCAAAAUGACAUGCUGUGCAUGUCUGUCUUGCUUUUUCUGAACUGAGGGGAAGAGUGUUCAGAAAGGAAAUGUGGUUGAGAAGCACAGAUAUUUUGUUUGAGUUUCAUUUAAAAUUAAGAGAAAUAUUUUUAUUAGAGAAGAAAUGUUUGUUCAUUAUAAAAAAAAAAAAUAAAGAACAAAAAAUACAAAAAUACCCCAGAAAAUCCCACAUACCUAAGUAAACUAAUUAAAAGACCCCCUACAAUGUUCCAUGGGAAACAAUGACAGUUUUAUGUGAUUUUAAAUUUGAAAAUAUGUAUCAAGUCCCUUCCAUGUCCAAGGCCCUUUGUUGUCACCACCAGCCUAAGGAGCUAGGACUCUUAUCCCUGUGGGUUACGCCAGGGGGCACAGAAGGCGAAGAGCAAAUAGAGCUCCUGUCUUCUGACUCCAAAUUCAGAACUUUCCUCAUUACGUGGACACCAAGUGGAUGACAUCAGGUGGUGCUUUGGUGGGGCAGAGGCUGGUGUGUUUGGGAGAGUUUCUAGGCCAGGAAAACAAACCCUCUAGUCCUGGCUCUGCCAUUUACUUGCUGGUUGAUCUUAGACAAGUAUUUCACCCGGUGGGGUGUCUGUGGGACAACCAAGGGGUGGUCGUCGACCAUGUUGGAAACUAAAGAAAAGUCAACUGGAUUAAAAAGUGCAGUGGCUCUUCCUGCCGGCAGGGGGCACCACUAAAAAGAAGAAAAAACUAAAAUUGGGCAUGUGGGACACCCCUCCCCCAACAAAAAAGAUAAUAUCUCAGGUAGACUCCCGGUGGGCAUCCCAGGGGCACUGGGGAGGGGACUCCAAUAAAGCCAGAACCAGGCAGGGUGGGGCCCAGAGCUGGAAGCUGGUGCGUUUGAGGAAAAGGCUUAAUUUAUCUUUCUCAGUCCUCUUUGGCCAAGAGAGACGACAGGAGUAUGUUUUACUUUCUUUCUUUCUUUUUUUUUAAAGAAAACUUUCCAUUGUGGAAAUGGCAUGUGUUUAUUUUUAAAAAUCCAGCCACAGGACUAUGUAACUUCUGGGGGCGGGAGGAGGCUCGGGGGCCAGUACUGACCCUUUCUGCUAUUAAAUUCAUGUCUGGGUUUCUUUAGCCGGUUGAUCUUUCCCUUCUGGGCCUCUCUCCUUUUAGCAGAGCAGAAAUCUUGUUCAUGGAUGAGAAGGAAACUGACAAGGAGGAGAACUGAAGUCUGGGGAAUUCAAAUGCUGUUGGAAUAACCGUGGCUGACAUUUAUUGAAGGCUUCCUAUGUGCCAAGCUGUGGGCUAGGCCCUUGACACAACGAAUGUUCCAGAUAAUCUGGGAGACAGGUAUUAUUACCUGGAUUUUACAGGUGUGGAAAUCUAGUCUUAGAGAAGUAGUUGCCAGCCCAAGGCAGUGUGAGAAUGACACCCGGGUUUGACUGACCCUGGAGCCGUGACUCAUGUCUUAUUUUGUGGCAGAAUGUUGGAGCUCUGAGCUUUCUGAGGCAGGCAGGAGCUUUCUGUUUGGGAGGAGAGACCAAGGAAGGGGCAGCCAUCCCAGCAGCCCAGCCCUCCUCUGUCAGUGCUCCCCCUACCCUUCAUGGGGGAUGCUAGGGGCCUGUCAGUUCCCUGAAGCAGACAGCUUCUUCCACGGGACCCACACAAAUGCACUUCGUCCCUCUUGGUCUCAGGCCCUCCCUCUGGAAAGUUCUCUCCUGAGUAGCAGGAAAUGGAGAAAGGAGGCAGUUGAAGAAGGAGCGAGGUUGGAAGUGUGCUCAAGUGUGGGGGAAGAAGCUCCCCAUAACUGAGAUGCGUGGGGGUGGCACCCAGAGCCUAGACCACGUGGCUUUCCACCCUCCCUUCCGAGCAGCAGGACUUGGUGAGUUACAUAAUCUCUCUGCACCUGGGUUUCCUCAUCUGUCAACUAGGAGAACAGAAACCCCUGCUGUGGCGAGGGUUUCAUCAGGUGCAGUGAGGCAUAUAAAGCACUUCGAACAGUGCCUGGCCCAUAGUAAAUGCUUCUCAAAAAUCAGCUCCUGUUAUUCUCCAGAAGCAGCUCAUUUUCAUCGAGUAGACCAUGGUGAGCAAAUAUUCACAGAUAGGUACAGCUCAAGUAUAAAUGAUCAGGCAGAGAACACAGAUCAGCUCUCCUUCGGGCCAGAGUCUAACUUCAAGGAGUUAGACUCCUUUCCCAGGCUCGCCCCACACUCAUCUUUCUGGUUUGAACCUGGCUACUCCUUUGGCUGCCGGGGCUUGAAAUUCUCAAAAGGAUCUGAAGGGGUUGGGAAUCCCCAAUUCUCUUUGUUCCAGAACAUUCUAAUAUGGUUCUGAAGGUCUAUGGGACCCCAUCUUACUCCUCUCCUCUGCAGGCCCAGAUUGAGCUAGGAGAAUUAGCCAGGCAAGAACAAGGACAGGGCCUGACAUUCUGGAAGAAUCUGUUCUCCUGGCCCCACCUAAAGAACCUUUUCUAAUGAUCCUUUCUUGGGUCAGCUGAGCCUGUGUGUCUACAUAUCCAGAACAGGCCGGACAGGGCUUAGCAUCUCUGUGAUCAUCACAAUCAAACACCAGGUCACUGCCAUCAUCAACAGUACUAUCCUGGCAAUGUCACCGUCAUCUAGACCAGGAUCACUAUCACCUCUGCAUCUUGCAACCCCCUCCAUCACUGAUGUGGCCUCUGCCAUUUCCAUCUUCCUCUUCACCAUUGACGUUGCUGGGGUCGCUCCCACACGGUGACCUUUACACUCCCAUGAUCACCUGCUGCUUGCGGUCAGUCAGAACCCUCAGGCAGAAAGAGACAGAAACCCAAGUCAACGAAUUUAAGGAAAAAAAUGUGGUUGGGGGUUUAUGUCUCACCCACCCAAAGAGUAGGACUACAGAAAGAGUAGGACUCUCCUAGCCACUGUGCCCACAGCACUCAAACACCGAACAUAAUUAGGAAGCUUUCUUUCUGUCCAUCUCUGCUUUACUCCCAUUUAUUUAAUUCUUUUUCUUUUUCUUUCUUUUUGCAGAGAGACCCCUGUCCAUGUGAGCUUUGUGGAUCCAUAUACUGGUUGUAUAGUGACCCAAAAGCGAAAGAAUUUUCAUCUAUCAAGUUGAAAAAAUCCCAAGAAAGUUCCCUGAUGAAUUGAGCUUGGUUGCCCUUUGGGCUCAGAUCACAGGAAUUGGGAUGUGUGGUUCUGUGCUUGGCCCAGCUUGGUCACGUACCUAGCAAAGACAUGGAACUGGAGCAAACUUGGUGAACAGGUGAUGACCUUAGUUUGUGUCCACAUUCACGUCUUCCACCAGCACCACCAUCACCAUCACCACCACCACCAUCACCACCACCAUCACCAUCACUAUUAUCACCACCACGACUGGCACAGUUUUGCUAAGAGCUGUCCUGAGCCCAGCCUGGAGCUUCACAUUUGGAACUGCAACAGAUUUGACUUGGAUCAAGUCUCCAGACCUAUGGGAAUUUACUGUUUGGGGGUAACAAAGUUCAUGUGUUCAAGGAGCUAGACUCCUAACCCUGGGCUAUGAGGUGGGAGCAGGAAGGGAAGCUGCGGGGACAGGCCUGCCCCUGCAGCAUGGGCCCCAUCCCUGAGCAGGCCCAACAGCCGCAGCAACCCAUCAAAGAUCCAACGAUGGGCCAGGCCAUUUAGCAAAAGGCUACCUGUGCCCAGGCCCAGAGUGAGAGCCAUUCCUUGCUCUCUGCACAGCUCCCACACCAGCCCGGUGCCCUGUGCCCGGCCAGAGCCCUCACCACAACUGCCCCUCCCGAGGGCUGAGGCUUGUUUUGGCUCCAGGCCUCCUGUUCCCGCUCCGUCUCUGAGCAAACAUCUGUUUCCAGAUGUUGUCCCAGAGCCUUAUAAAGUUGAGGGAAGGCCUGAGUUAAUAGAGCUCCAGCAGACCCGCCUCGGCAGCGAGCUCACGUCAGGAAUGGAUCACUCAAGGAAAGCAAGACCCCUCAUUUCCUGAGGGGGGUGGGGCGUACAGGAAAGAUGAAUAGGGCACCCCCUCUCCGUUCCAGAAAUGACCUUAGCAAAGCAACCGCCUUCAGGAAAAAGAGGGAAAAGGCUUUUGUAAUGAGGUUUGCAGGAACGAAUGUUCCAGGCUGUUCUGCGUUCAGGGCUACUGCUGGGGAGGAACCAGAGGGAGGAAAGCUCAGCGGGACAGCAGAGCCUCCCCUGGAUUUACUGGCCACAAUCUGAGUUUGACCCUGGGAGCUGUGUGGUGCCUGGCAGGGAAGGGACCUGGCUGGAGUCUGGAUUUGACACCAGUGUGCUGGGUGACCUUGGAAGAGGCUCUGACCUCUCUGUGCUCGGUUUCUGCCAGUGUCACACACAGUGGAACCUUGGGUGAUUUAUAAAGGUCUUUCUGGGCCAGGGUGGGGCUCCUCUGCACACCAAACAGGGAGAGCUACUCCUAGGAAAAGAUCCCAAGGUAAAGGGUUCGGAGUGGCGGGGCGAGUCCAGGGCUGGGGGCUCGAGACAAGCAGGGACCCAUGGCAUGACCUCAAUCCCAGGUCCUAGUGAAUAGGGCUCGGCUUCAGCCAAGGAAUCCGGCUCUGUGUUAUCUGUCAUCAAACAAAAGCCUCUGUCUCUUAGAUGGCAGUGCCUGUCUUUCCAGCACAUCUCCCGCCUGUCAUGGGAACUCAGGUCCUGGGCUGCUUCUCCGAGAACAUGCUUGGGAUGCCCUUCCACCCUCUCUGUGCUGAGGCCCAGCUUCCCAGCCCUGAUUCCACAGGCUGACGGCUCUGAGGCCCCGCGUCUCGCUCCCACUCCUCCUGCAUGUGCUUCUUCCAAGAAGCUGCAAGCGGGGCCCUAAUGGAUGCGUUUGCUGAUGAUUUCUGACGUCUGGCUGCAGCGUGGCCUUGCCUUCCUCUCUUAUGGGUUUUGUGCUUUAUUGGGGCCUCGUGCACAUGAUCUCAUUUGAGUGUUGCAGCAUUCCCUGGCGUAGGAAUGAGGAGUCCCCUGCCCUCGACAGGAGGAUGAGUUCUAGGGAGGUCAAAACAUUUCCUGAAAGGCACACAGCUUGCAAUGGAGAAGCCAGGACUUGGAGUUUUGGGGGUGCCUUGUUUCAAAUUCACCCUGGAUCAACAAAAUGAUCCUCCAGUGCUAAUCUCACUAGAUGGGUAAUAGCUUCCUAUUUUGAGAAAUGUAAGAAGCGUGUGGGGUGCAGGGAGUGGUGCUCUGUAGCUGAUGAGAGAUGUCUGUCAACGGUGUGGGAAUGGAGUGUUGGUGUGACCAGACCAUGCCACGGAGAAGGGAGACGUGGAAGGAGCUCAUGGUUGAGGCUGUUGGGUAUCAAGAGGUCAUUUGAUGCACCCCAGUCAUUUGCAGUCAUUUGAUGGCAAAGAUGGACCACAAAAGCUUGGACCUUCUGUUCUGUUCUCCCAGAGCUCUCCUCUAUCUGGAUCCUUCCAUGCUCUGAGGCCCAGCCCAGGACUUUCUCUUCCAGAAACCUUCACCCUAACUCUGAGUCUUCAUGCCAGUCCCUUUCUCCAAGUCCCAAGGCCCUGGUCAUCCUGUUUGGCCCUCAGCUCAUGCUGCUCUUUCCUGAAGCCCCCACAUUCAUCCCUCAGGAUUGUGAACCCUGUGAGAAGCUGAUCUGGGUUUUGUCCCACUAGGAACUCAAUAACAGAUGUGGGCUGACUAAUGGAUCAGUGGCCCAGACCCUAGAAUGAGCAAGCAGCGGCCUUCCUCCCAGCCCCAGGACCGCAGGCUUAACGGCAGGCGAGACCCUUGUUUGAUCUGUUUUGUUUGAUCUUUGUCGUGCAUUCCAAGUCCCUGCAGUUAUCAUGGUGGCUCCCACAGAGGGAACUGGGGGCUCUGCACUCUGUACACAUGGUUGGAUCCAAUUCUCAUACUCCAGGAGAUAGAAAGUGGUUUUCCCAGAGAUCAGAGUUUAAGCUCAGAGUUUAAGUAAUUUGCUCAAGAUUGCACAGAUGUAAACAGAGAGUCCAUUCCUGGAAUGGACUCACAGUGAGUCCUACCUGGAAUCGCCUCCCAGUGAACACAGAAUGAGGCCCAGCUCCUGGCCCUGGAUAAGGCCAAGUGGGAGACUCUUGUGGAAUUAUUCUGAAACCCCCUGAGAUCAGAGGAACACAGGCUCGUGGGGGCUUCCAGCUGCUCCUGGAGGGAGUCAGCAAGACAGAGCUGGGCUGGGAAGGCUCCGACAUGGCUCUCGGGAUGGCAGCUGGGCAUGGCCUUUGCUAACCACAACAUUCCUCUAAUCCACUUCUCAGGACCAAGUGGUCCUAGACAGGCCCAUGAGCCCACCCUGCCAGGCAUUUACUCCUGUAAACACAUCUGUGGCCUCCAACGUAACCAAAUAUCACGGAAUCCACAACCAGGGUAGUUCUAAGCUUGGCCAUGUAACUUGUAGCACGUGUCAUACAUGCAGAGGAACUUGGAGCUCUCCUUCUGAAAGUCAAGUACCCAUGCUGUAAAGCAGCUCUGGAGAGACUGCAGAACAUUCCAGGGCAUGCUAAGAGGGUGAGAAACCAUCCUGAAUGUCCCAGCCCCAGCAGAGCUCCCUGCCAAGUUCCCACCAUGCAGCCAGCCACACCAGUACCUACAGCAGAAGAACCACUCAGCUGAGCCCUGUCAACCCACAGAAUUAAAGGAAAAGAAUCAAUCAAUGUGU